UAAUUAUAUAAUAUAUUUUGUUUCAAUUAUAAUACUUAAACUAAUAUUUGAUUGACAUGCCGCGAUUUAGGCUGAGAAUCGUUUCUCCUUGAUUCUCAAGUGAGAAACUCUUCUUCCACUCUCUCUUACUUUUUUACUUUUGGGUUAUUAUUUUAUUAUUAAGUUUCUCAUUCAGAAAUGAUGAAGAUGGCCUUACGUUUACAUUUUAAAACAAAGAAGCAUGUAGUACUUUUGAAUAUUGUUUCUC
RNAcentral lists this small RNA (247 nucleotides) under Arabidopsis thaliana (thale cress). Its description in RNAcentral is "ATSL076160". Lineage: Eukaryota; Viridiplantae; Streptophyta; Magnoliopsida; Brassicales; Brassicaceae. The record is from RNAcentral.